This 1435-nucleotide long non-coding RNA is filed under the name Trifolium pratense (red clover). RNAcentral's name for it is "long non-coding RNA (TPRA_LNC005873)". The record is from RNAcentral. Lineage: Eukaryota; Viridiplantae; Streptophyta; Magnoliopsida; Fabales; Fabaceae.
UUCAGUACUUCUAACACUGUUUCAGAGGUAGUUUUUGGCUUCAUUUCCUUUUUAUAAUAUUUGUUAGGUUUGUAUUUCAAAUCUGAACCAGCUUGUUUGAUACAAAAACUGGAUUUCUUAUAGUGAAUUGGUUUUGAACUGAUUUUGAUUUGAACCAGUCUCAAAUUUGGUUUUGCCACCGUAAACAUCAAAAUGAGACAUUAAUAUCAGAUCUGGAAUUCUCUUAUCAUCCUCUUCCUACGUAUCCGAAUGAAAUCAGGAAUCGAUUGCGAUGCUUUAAAUGCGACGGCGUCUGGUCACGGUAGCAAAUGGGUCUCGGAGAAGAACCUUAGUGGUGAAAGUUUACCGGUGAAGUUGUGAAGGUCAUAUUUUUCUAUUGUUUCUUUCUUUCUCUCCUCUUUUAUGUUGUUUCUGAUUAUUUCGUUCCUUUUUCAAAUUGCAAUAACUGGAACCCAAAUUAAAAGCUUCACUUUCAGGUAUCAACAUAAGAAUAUCAUAUUUUUUGUAUUUUCUGUCUACAAAAAUUAUUCUGAUACUUGGAUCUGUCAUGAAUGUUGAAAUUUAUAUUUGUGCAUCCUUAGUUUUCAUCUAUCUAGACGAACCGUUGAAAUUUGUUAGAAUAUGAUGAAUGAUUUGUCUCUGUUUGAUAUGAUGUAUUAUUCUUAUACUUGGAUCUGUCAUGAAUCUUUGAUAUCUAAAGUUAGAAAGAGAUAUAUUGAGUUACUUGUUAAGAUAAUCUAGAGUAGAUGUAUAAUUUGUCAAAUGUUGAUAUGAUUUUAAAUAACUGAAAAGUUAUAUGGGUGAAAAGAGAAAAGUGGAGAUAAAAUGUUAAGAGAUGCCAUACUAAUACUUUCAGCUCUUCCUGGUUCAAGAAUAGAUUCAAGUGAUUUUUAGAAGAUGCUAACAGAACUAUGAGAUAUGCAAAGGCUACUUCAACAAAGCUUUGAUUCAGACGAGGAAGAGAAACAAGUUUAAAUGAGACACUUGCAUUUUAUCAUAGGUAAAUGUAUUUUAGUGACAUUAUUUAUUGAUGUAUGUUUUAGUGAAGAAUGUUGCUUUGAAUUGGAUUUUCUUGUUGAUCCCUUUGUUGCUGUUAUAUGGUGGUUUCUGGUCUUGGUUUUGAGCAUGCUAGUAGUGUUGUUUCCAGUUGGCAAAUAUAAGUUAUGCAGGCUAGUUUUGAGCAUGCUAGUAGUGUUCUUGAGUAUCUUUAAAUACUUCAAUUAAUACAUAAUAUAUAUUAUGGCUUUGUUUAAAUAUCAUGUCUUUAAUUAAGUUUGAUGUAUGUAUUUGGGAAGAAUGAUGCUUUGAGUUGGGUUAUCUUAUUGAUCCCUUUGUUGCUGUUGUAGGGUGGUAUUUGGUUUUUGUUUUGAGCAUACUGGUGGUAGAAGUAUUAUACUUGUGACAUUGCGUUGUUUCCAGUUAGCAAAUGUAAGUU